Helianthus annuus (common sunflower) is the source of this 355-nucleotide long non-coding RNA. RefSeq lists it as uncharacterized. NCBI's taxonomy places the organism in Eukaryota, Viridiplantae, Streptophyta, Magnoliopsida, Asterales, Asteraceae. The transcript is spliced from 3 exons. The record is from RefSeq and is a predicted model, not a curated record.
GAAUAUUCCCGGUGUGCAGCUGGCACUUCGUAUGAAAAUGGCGUUUUUCACAUGAAACUGAUCCUGUCCUAUGAGUUUCCCCAGUCACUUCCUAAAGUGCCGGAAGUGUGGAGACAAAUCACAGCAAAACGAGCAGAUGAUGGAUCUCACAGUUGAAAUUGAAGGCAAUAUUGAGACUUUAGAAGAGGCUCUGGAUAAAUUGACAUGUACCGAGAUAGUGGAUGGUGAAAACAAGUAUAAAUGAAGCUAAGGGACGAUAUUCAAGAGUAAGUACGUAUAUUGGUGGUGGGUGUCGGAUUGCAGGUGGGUUAGGCUGUGAACUUCUCAAACGUAGUCUACAAGGAAGUUUUUUCCG